UGAGGAAUAUUGGUCGGAUGGAGGCAACUCUGAACCAGCCAAGUAGCGUGCAGGAUGACGGCCCUAUGGGUUGUAAACUGCUUUUAUGCGGGGAUAAAUUGACUCACGUGUGGGUCAUUGCAGGUACCGCAUGAAUAAGGACCGGCUAAUUCCGUGCCAGCAGCCGCGGUAAUACGGAAGGUCCUGGCGUUAUCCGGAUUUAUUGGGUUUAAAGGGAGCGUAGGCCAUUGUUUAAGCGUGUUGUGAAAUGUCCCGGCUCAACCGUGGCACUGCAGCGCGAACUGGACGACUUGAGUGCGCGGAACGUAUGCGGAAUUUGUGGUGUAGCGGUGAAAUGCUUAGAUAUCACGAAGAACUCCGAUUGCGAAGGCAGCAUACGGCAGCGCUACUGACGCUGAAGCUCGAAAGCGCGGGUAUCGAACAGGAUUAGAUACCCUGGUAGU
Molecule: ribosomal RNA, 443 nt
Filed under: uncultured Prevotella sp.
Lineage: Bacteria; Pseudomonadati; Bacteroidota; Bacteroidia; Bacteroidales; Prevotellaceae
Description: bacterial SSU rRNA
Rfam family: Bacterial small subunit ribosomal RNA
Source: RNAcentral